GAUGAACGCUAGCGGCAGGCUUAACACAUGCAAGUCGAGGGGCAGCAUAAUGGAUAGCAAUAUCUAUGGUGGCGACCGGCGCACGGGUGCGUAACGCGUAUGCAACCUACCUUUAACAGGGGGAUAACACUGAGAAAUUGGUACUAAUACCCCAUAAUAUCAUAGAAGGCAUCUUUUAUGGUUGAAAAUUCCGAUGGUUAGAGAUGGGCAUGCGUUGUAUUAGCUAGUUGGUGGGGUAACGGCUCACCAAGGCGACGAUACAUAGGGGGACUGAGAGGUUAACCCCCCACACUGGUACUGAGACACGGACCAGACUCCUACGGGAGGCAGCAGUGAGGAAUAUUGGUCAAUGGACGCAAGUCUGACCAGCCAUGCCGCGUGCAGGAUGACGGCUCUAUGAGUUGUAAACUGCUUUUGUACUAGGGUAAACUCACCUACGUGUAGGUGACUGAAAGUNUAGUACGAAUAAGGAUCGGCUAACUCCGUGCC
This 489-nucleotide ribosomal RNA is filed under the name uncultured bacterium. RNAcentral's name for it is "bacterial SSU rRNA". It matches the Rfam family "Bacterial small subunit ribosomal RNA", at positions 28 to 509 of the family's 1533-position model. The record is from RNAcentral.